CGGUUUUACUCUUGUGAUUUGUUGCAUG
This 28-nucleotide unclassified non-coding RNA is filed under the name Schistosoma mansoni. RNAcentral describes it as "trans-spliced leader sequence". Lineage: Eukaryota; Metazoa; Platyhelminthes; Trematoda; Strigeidida; Schistosomatidae. The record is from RNAcentral.